This 253-nucleotide ribosomal RNA is filed under the name uncultured bacterium. RNAcentral's name for it is "partial 16S ribosomal RNA". It matches the Rfam family "Bacterial small subunit ribosomal RNA", at positions 524 to 776 of the family's 1533-position model. The record is from RNAcentral.
UACAGAGGUCUCGAGCGUUGUUCGGAUUCAUUGGGCGUAAAGGGUGCGUAGGUGGCGCUGUAAGUCGGAUGUGAAAUCCUGAGGCUUAACCUCGGAACUGCAUUCGAUACUGCGGCGCUUGAGGACUGGAGAGGAGACUGGAAUUCAUGGUGUAGCAGUGAAAUGCGUAGAGAUCAUGAGGAAGACCAGUGGCGAAGGCGGGUCUCUGGACAGUUCCUGACACUGAGGCACGAAGGCCAGGGGAGCAAACGGG